AAAAAGGCUCUUUUCAGAGCCACCCACAAUCUCUUGAAAGCAGUUG
This is a non-coding RNA of Canis lupus familiaris (dog), 46 nucleotides long. Lineage: Eukaryota; Metazoa; Chordata; Mammalia; Carnivora; Canidae. The record is from Rfam.